CGUGGGUAACCUGCCCAAGAGAUCGGGAUAACACCUGGAAACAGAUGCUAAUACCGGAUAACAACAGAUGAUGCCUAUCAACUGUUUAAAAGAUGGUUCUGCUAUCACUCUUGGAUGGACCUGCGGUGCAUUAGCUAGUUGGUAGGGUAACGGCCUACCAAGGCGAUGAUGCAUAGCCGAGUUGAGAGACUGAUCGGCCACAUUGGGACUGAGACACGGCCCAAACUCCUACGGGAGGCAGCAGUC
This 246-nucleotide ribosomal RNA is filed under the name uncultured Lactobacillus sp. Its description in RNAcentral is "partial 16S ribosomal RNA". It matches the Rfam family "Bacterial small subunit ribosomal RNA", at positions 116 to 355 of the family's 1533-position model. The record is from RNAcentral. Lineage: Bacteria; Bacillati; Bacillota; Bacilli; Lactobacillales; Lactobacillaceae.